AUACGUAGGGGGCGAGCGUUGUCCGGAAUGAUUGGGCGUAAAGGGCGCGUAGGCGGCCCGGUAAGUCUGGAGUGAAAGCCCUGUUUUUAAGAUGGGAAUUGCUUUGGAUACUGUCGGGCUUGAGUGCAGGAGAGGUAAGUGGAAUUCCCAGUGUAGCGGUGAAAUGCGUAGAGAUUGGGAGGAACACCAGUGGCGAAGGCGACUUUCUGGAAUGGAACGGACGCUGAGGCGCGAAAGCGUGGGGAGCAAACAGGAUUAGAUACCCUGGUAGUCCACACUGUAAACGAUGAAUGCUAGGUGUAGGGGGUAUCGACCCCUUCUGUGCCGCAGUCAACACAAUAAGCAUUCCGCCUGGGGAGUACGGCCGCAAGGUUGAAACUCAAAUGAAUUGACGGGG
This 397-nucleotide ribosomal RNA is filed under the name uncultured bacterium. RNAcentral describes it as "partial 16S ribosomal RNA". It matches the Rfam family "Bacterial small subunit ribosomal RNA", at positions 523 to 918 of the family's 1533-position model. The record is from RNAcentral.